AACGAACGCUGGCGGCGUACUUAACACAUGCAAGUCGGACGAGAAAGGGGAUUUCGGUCCCUGAGUAUAGAGGCGCACGGGUGCGUAACACGUAAGCAAUCUACCCCGAACUCUGGGAUAACCCUCCGAAAGGAGGGCUAACACCGGAUAGGGUCCUCGAGGUAUAGGCCGCGGGGGGAAAACGGGCCUCUGUUUCAUGCUCGUGGUUCGGGAUGAGCUUGCGGCCCAUUAGCUAGUUGGUAGGGUAAUGGCCUACCAAGGCAACGAUGGGUAGCUGGUCUGAGAGGAUGAUCAGCCACACUGGCACUGAGACACGGGCCAGACUCCUACGGGAGGCAGCAGUGGGGAAUUUUGCGCAAUGGGCGAAAGCCUGACGCAGUAACGCCGCGUGGAGGAUGAAGGCCUUCGGGUUGUAAACUCCUGUCAGGAGGAACGACGGGGAGAGGGUGAUAAAUCCUUUCCUUCAGACGGUACCUCCAAAGGAAGCCCCGGCUAAUUCCGUGC
RNAcentral lists this ribosomal RNA (504 nucleotides) under uncultured bacterium. RNAcentral's name for it is "bacterial SSU rRNA". It matches the Rfam family "Bacterial small subunit ribosomal RNA", at positions 29 to 508 of the family's 1533-position model. The record is from RNAcentral.